UACAGAGGGUGCGAGCGUUAAUCGGAAUUACUGGGCGUAAAGCGUGCGUAGACGGCUAUCUAAGUCGGGUGUGAAAGCCCCGGGCUCAACCUGGGAACUGCAUUCGAUACUGGGCGGCUAGAGUAUGAGAGAGGGAGGUAGAAUUCCACGUGUAGCGGUGAAAUGCGUAGAUAUGUGGAGGAAUACCGGUGGCGAAGGCGGCCUCCUGGUUCAAUACUGACGCUGAGGUGCGAAAGCGUGGGGAGCAAACAGG
This 253-nucleotide ribosomal RNA is filed under the name uncultured bacterium. Its description in RNAcentral is "partial 16S ribosomal RNA". It matches the Rfam family "Bacterial small subunit ribosomal RNA", at positions 524 to 776 of the family's 1533-position model. The record is from RNAcentral.